CCUACGGGCGGCUGCAGUGAGGAAUAUUGGUCAAUGGACGAGAGUCUGAACCAGCCAAGUCGCGUGAAGGAGGACUGUCCUAUGGGUUGUAAACUUCUUUUAUAAAGGAAUAAAACGAGGCACGUGUCCCUUUUUGCAUGUACUUUAUGAAUAAGCAUCGGCCAACUCCGUGCCAGCAGCCGCGGUAAUACGGAGGAUCCGAGCGUUAUCCGGAUUUAUUGGGUUUAAAGGGUGCGUAGAUGGGUUGUUAAGUCAGUUGUGAAAGUUUGCGGCUCAACCGUAAAAUUGCAAUUGAUACUGGCAGUCUUGAGUACAGGUGAGGUAAGCGGAAUUCGUGGUGUAGCGGUGAAAUGCUUAGAUAUCACGAAGAACCCCGAUUGCGAAGGCAGCUUAC
This 394-nucleotide ribosomal RNA is filed under the name uncultured bacterium. RNAcentral describes it as "partial 16S ribosomal RNA". It matches the Rfam family "Bacterial small subunit ribosomal RNA", at positions 338 to 729 of the family's 1533-position model. The record is from RNAcentral.